RNAcentral lists this ribosomal RNA (253 nucleotides) under uncultured bacterium. Its description in RNAcentral is "partial 16S ribosomal RNA". It matches the Rfam family "Bacterial small subunit ribosomal RNA", at positions 524 to 776 of the family's 1533-position model. The record is from RNAcentral.
UACAGAGGUCUCAAGCGUUGUUCGGAUUCAUUGGGCGUAAAGGGUGCGUAGGCGGCGCGGUAAGUCGGGUGUGAAAUCUUGGAGCUUAACUCCGAAACUGCAUUCGAUACUGCCGUGCUUGAGGACUGGAGAGGAGACUGGAAUUUACGGUGUAGCGGUGAAAUUCGUAGAUAUCGGGAGGAAUACCAGUGGCGAAGGCGGCGACCUGGGCCAAUACUGACGCUGAGGUGCGAAAGCGUGGGGAGCAAACAGG